UUGGAUCGUGUUAUAAAUGCUCUAGCUAAACCUAUUGAUGCGAGAGGCGAAAUUGUAGCUCCCGAAUCUCGCUUAAUUGAAUCUCCUGCUCCAAGUAGAUUUUCCAGGCGUUCCAUAUACAAACCUCUUCAAACAGGGCUUAUUGCUAUCGAUUCGAUGAUCUCUAUAGGGUGCGAUCAGCGAGAGUUCAUUAUUGGGGACAGACAGACUGGCAAAACAGCAGUAGCCACAAAUACAAUUCUCAAGAAAAAAGGGCAAAAGCAAUUUAACCAUUCUGUGGGUAAAUCAAAAGCGCCACUGGAAUAUUUUUCACUACCCCAAUAA
Molecule: ribosomal RNA, 324 nt
Filed under: Triticum aestivum (bread wheat)
Lineage: Eukaryota; Viridiplantae; Streptophyta; Magnoliopsida; Poales; Poaceae
Description: partial small subunit ribosomal RNA
Source: RNAcentral